AUACGUAGGGGGCGAGCGUUGUCCGGAAUGAUUGGGCGUAAAGGGCGCGUAGGCGGCCUGUUAAGUCUGGAGUGAAAGUCCUGUUUUCAAGAUGGGAAUUGCUUUGGAUACUGAUGAGCUUGAGUGCAGGAGAGGUUAUCGGAAUUCCCGGUGUAGCGGUGAAAUGCGUAGAGAUCGGGAGGAACACCAGUGGCGAAGGCGGGUAACUGGACUGCAACUGACGCUGAGGCGCGAAAGUGUGGGGAGCAAACAGGAUUAGAUACCCUGGUAGUCCACACUGUAAACGAUGAAUGCUAGGUGUAAGAGGUAUCGACCCCUUUUGUGCCGGAGUUAACACAAUAAGCAUUCCGCCUGGGGAGUACGGCCGCAAGGUUGAAACUCAAAGGAAUUGACGGGG
RNAcentral lists this ribosomal RNA (397 nucleotides) under uncultured bacterium. RNAcentral describes it as "partial 16S ribosomal RNA". It matches the Rfam family "Bacterial small subunit ribosomal RNA", at positions 523 to 918 of the family's 1533-position model. The record is from RNAcentral.